RNAcentral lists this transfer RNA (60 nucleotides) under Cricetulus griseus (Chinese hamster). It matches the Rfam family "tRNA". From Rfam's summary of the family: Transfer RNA (tRNA) molecules are approximately 80 nucleotides in length. Their secondary structure includes four short double-helical elements and three loops (D, anti-codon, and T loops). The record is from Rfam by way of RNAcentral. Lineage: Eukaryota; Metazoa; Chordata; Mammalia; Rodentia; Cricetidae.
GGAUGUAGCUCAGGUGCUUGCCUGCCAUGCAAGAGGCCCUGGGUUUGAAUCCCAGCACCC